This 9623-nucleotide long non-coding RNA is filed under the name Populus trichocarpa (black cottonwood). RNAcentral describes it as "long non-coding RNA (PTRI_LNC001995)". The record is from RNAcentral. Lineage: Eukaryota; Viridiplantae; Streptophyta; Magnoliopsida; Malpighiales; Salicaceae.
AAUUAUCAACAUCUUCUACAAACAUGAUGUGCAAGUUUAAUCCCCAGGAAUACUGACUAGUUAUUAUUUUAAUUUACUGGAAACCUAUAGGGCUGGAGAGUAUAUUUCAGAUUGAGGCUGGAAGAAGGAAAGAAAACUGGAGCUUGAUCAAUAUUUAUGAAUUUCUGUGGUUAUCUCUGUAGCAGUUUUAUUCACAGAAAACUAGUCUCUGUGACUUGGGAAAUCAGCUCUGGAUUUUGUUCAAAUAAGGGACAGUAGACCAAUUACCUUUGUGGUUGUUGGUGUUUUGGUGCGGCAGGGAUAGAGGAGCUGUGUAGAGCAUGUUAUGCAGAUGGCAUGAACAUUUCAGACUCCUCUAAGUUUAUAUUUUUGGGCCUUGUAAAUCUCUCUUUAAGGCAGAACGUUAUUUGGAUGAUAUAAUGUUAAACAGUUGAGGCUCCUCUAGGAUUAUUUGGCAUGUGUGGGGCUCAAUAUUUGUUCUUAGCCAUUAAUAAUAAAUAGUAAUAGGUUAAAACAGUUGCCCGCAUAUUGGUUCUCAAAAUAAAAGAAUGUAAACUCAAGUGUGCCUGCUUCUGUUCAACUCACUCAUUGAUUGUUAUUUGUUGGAGGACAUGUGAUUUGCUUGCAUGAUUUGUGGGUUGUUGUAAGAAGUGGAAGUCAUUUUCUCCUCUAUGAUCCUUACUAUAUUCCUCCUCUUUGGAAGCUGAGUUGAAAAUAUUUCAGUUUGCUUGAGCUCAUUUGAGCACCGGAGACCAUCCAAAGUAGAAGCGAUUUGUUGCAUUAUUUAAUUCAUAUACUUGUAACUCGAUCUUCAUGCACUACUAUUAUGUAUUAUGUUUAAACAAUGAUUAAGCACUUCAAUGGCAAAUAAAAGGUGAACUGCCGUCCCCUUUAUUGGCUGACAUGCCUGAAAUUAGCACUUAAAAUAUGGUCCUAAGAGCUUGCCGUCGAUACAUGACUCUCACCUGAAAAUGCCUGUAUUUUCUCUGUUAAUUUCUUGACAUUUUACUUCUUGUGGUUUAACUUUAAUCUUGUUCGUUCACAUUUAUCUAUCAACCAUAUGCUGACUGUGAGGAUUCUGUAGGGAUUGCAACUUUUGAGAUGGAGUAUGGGCACUGGUUGGAGGAGCAAAACAGACAUAUUUGUGAUAUGAGGACUGCUUUAAACGCUCAUAUAAGUGACGUAGAGCUCCACAUACUUGUAGAGAGUGACAUGAGCCACUAUUCCGAACUUUUUCGCUUGAAAGCAAUUGCAGCAAAAGCUGAUGUUUUCUAUGUGAUGUCUGGCUUGUGGAAAUCGUCGGCAGAAAGGUUUUUCUUGUGGAUUGGAGGGUUUCGCCCUUCAGAGCUUCUUAAGGUGAUGAAUUAGUUAUUAAAAUUAUCAAUUGAAGGUUAUAUAUGGGGGUGCCUUUGAACUUAUGAAAGACCUCAUUUUGAUCUCACCACCUUGCCAAGGUGGGUAAACUUGAUCUAAAACUGUGACAACUUAUCACUGCAUUCCGGUCUGCGCUGAUGCUCGGCUCGGUGUAUUAAAUUUCUUUCACGUCGAGCAUUAUGCUGGCAAUUGUUAAAGUGCGUGACAUAUUACCAGUCUGGCUUAUUAAUUAUACAGUUGGUUUUUGGUCAUUGUCUGCUUUGCUGUAAAUAUGGUUAGGGCCCUUGUUACUCCAAAACUGUGGUUAUUGUGUUGUCUUGCACAUAAUAGCCAGCAAGUCCUGUCUAGUCAUGUAAAGUGCAAAUAUUUAUACAGUGAUAAUUCAUUUGGAGGGUUCUGCUAUUGGUAUAGAGUCAUGCUGAUUGCAUGUGGUUGUUAAAAGAGCAUUUCUCACUUCCUAGACAUAAGUAUCGGCACCAACAUAUGUUAUAGAUUAGCAUCUUAUCAUUUGGUUCAUACGAUUAAUAAGUUCUUAUAUCAUUCAAAUGGUUGCUUCAUUGACUCAAGUAUUCAUUUUAUUCUGUGUUUCUGGACUUUGUCAUAUUUUCUAUUCCGACCCAGUUCUUCUGAGAUAUAUUCACAAAUUUAUGUUGAUUACAGAUUCUCGUGCCUUGCAUGGAGCCCUUGACAGAACAGCAAGUUGUGCAUGUUCUUAAUCUUAGACAAUCAUGCCAGCUAGCUGAAGAUGCUCUUUCACAAGGUUUGGAAAAACUCCAGCAAAAUGUAGCAGAGACUGUGGCAGCUGGUCAGUUGGGUGAAGCAAGUUACUCGCCUCAUAUGGAAACUGCAAUGGAGAAGUUAGAAGCUCUGGCCUGCUUUGUGCAGCAGGUCUUAUAAUGCACCUUCUCUUUGCAUUCUCGAAUGGUUUUAGUCUAAGUUCUUAGGCAUGUGCACUCAUAACACAUACACAAUCCAUGAAGUAAUCACUUCAAUUUCAGAGGAAAAGGCCUUCUUAACUUGCAUUAAAGCAUAUUAGUGCCUUGUGUCAUGAAAUAAUCUUGUUAUGCAGAUGUGGGUGAUAUCCAAGUUUUCGCUAGCAUUUAGGUCAAAAUUGGUUGUGCUUGAAGUUAUGCUCCCCAGCUUUCUGAAUGAGGUCAAUCAGCUGGGCUUGUUGAUAUAUCUAACAUCAACUCUUUGUUUUAACAGGCAGACCAUAUACGCCAGGAAACUUUGCAGCAGAUGUCUCGGAUCUUAACAACACGUCAGGCAGCUCGAGGGCUGCUUGCCUUGGGAGAAUACUUCCAACGGCUUCGGGCUCUGAGUUCACUUUGGGCAACUCGCCCACGUGAGCCUGCCUAGCUUUCAUAUUAGGACCCUAUAGCUGGUCAAGAUCUCAAGGAGAUAAUCAUCACUGGAGCAAUACUCAGAAAGAAAAGGGGCGUCUUAGGGUAAUGAUGUAAUCUUAUGUAGACAAUUCAAGCUGCUGACAUUUUUCAAGCAGCCUCCUACAACUGGAAAGUUUUAGAUAUAAAUAGCCAUUCUAUCAAGAGGAAGCUUGUGGUUAAAUCAAUUUUCAGUGCUGCUACUGUCUUGAAAUCAAAUGAUAUAUCACGUUGAGUCUGCAGAUGAAACUUUGUCAUGUAAAUUGUAGUCUACUUGUGUUUGUAUUUUUGUUCUACUUGUGUUUGUAUUUUUGUUCUGCCAUGUACAUAAAUCGUGAGAAUUGCAAAUUAUUUGUUGCCUCCCAUCUCCCUUGCUUAUACUGAAAUGGUCAAUGUAGGCUAGGAAAACCCUACCUGACAAUGAACUCUAGGUCAAUAAUGAAUGGCAUGGAUGUUUUGCUGCCAAAAUUAUGUAAUAUCAUUGAUGCACAAUUAAGAAGAUGCAACUCAUAGCCAUUUUGUUUCCAUUAGUUUCUGUUUCAUUUCCAGGGAAUUCUGACUGGGACAGCUUUAGCUCAGUUGUCUUGUGAUAUAAUGAACAUGGAUAAUUACUGGAAAUAACCUAGUUGUCAUACAACAGGAUAGUGUUCCAGCAACACAAGCAAAGCCCUAAGCUAAAGCUAUUCAUAAACCACUCAAAAGGGAUGUACAAAAGUAAGUAGCAAAGCUAAAAAGAAAGCGAUGUUGUUACUAUCGUAUUACUAGUUCUACUAAUCUUGCUGUAAUCAUUAAAGCAUGCAACUUUGUCAGCAAUACUGAACUAACCAAUCCAUGUCAUUCCACUAAUUAAAACGACAAAUCUUUGGACGUGUUCAUUAGAUUGCCACUAUCAAUCCACCAUCCUGAGUCCACACUUCAAUGGCUUCAUAGAAUUGUUUAACAUGAUUGGUCUCUACUUUUUAUCUAGCUAGUGAUAUUUCUUGUCAUUUUCGUUUCUUUUCUUCUGUACUAGCAAUUUUUUCUCCCUUUUUCUGGUUUGUAGUUUAUGUUUGGUACAAGGAGAAAUAUAAAGCAAAGAGCAUUUCCAGUUUCACUUUGUGAGUUUUUUAAUCUUCUUAUCCAUCCCCACCACUUCUAUAUCACCAGUUGAGCUCAAUCAAUAUUUUAGUCUUCAGAAUCCACAUUUAGAGAUGGUAAGGCACAUGGCCUGAUUUGGAGGGUAUUGCUGAGUAACCUGGAACUACAGAGCCAAUAAUUCUGAAAAAUUAGACACUCAGAGGUCCGAGGUCCUCUUGCAAUAGAAGUUUUUCUUCAGUAUUGACUCUGCCUGCACCUUAAAAACGAAAGAAUCUAAUGCCUUGCCAGCAUCGUUGACCUAAAAAUUAUCUGCCGCACACACCGAUAACCGCUAAAGCCUUUCUUGGAUUAUGUUUCCUUGCAUGAGUUUUCAAGUAAUGUAUCCAUUGGUGCACAUCAUGACAUGUGCAUCCACAGAACAUGGAAAUACAGUUUGAUUUUUUCAGGUAAUAGAAUCAGAAACAAGCAAACUCAUCCUAUUGUUAGAAAGGUUAGAUAUUUGCUCGAUAUUAUUGAAAGCAACCUAUCAGAAGAGAUCGAUGCCAAAAAAUGUGAAUAAUUACAUAUUGAUCUCAGCUUCUGGCAGGUAGCUCCUCACAACUUUGACAUUGAAUAGUCCAACGCGUCAACAAGACAGUCUGCGUAUGCCAAAACAAAAACCGUGACAUUAGAUCAUUUGGUUGAAAAGAGCAUGUAAACAAAAUUAACAAUGGUAAUCAUCAUGCAAGCAAUUCAGAGCUUUUUUUCACAGAAACUGCAGUUUUUAAAAGCUCUCAGAAUCUCUCCUGAAAGUUACCUUAUUGCUUAUCUAAAAGCACGAGGGUUUAAUUUAUUUAAGCACUUGAAGAGACAUGAAGAGUACCUGCAUCAUCUUUGGUGAAGCACAUCGGUGGUUUGAUACGAAACACAUUUCCAUGUAUUCCACCUUUGCCGACUAAGAUGCCAAGCUCUGCACUCAGGAACCAGUGAUGAUAAAUACAAAGUAGAAAUCGAUGAGAAAAUCAUUUCAUAAUCAAAGGCUUAUCUUUUCUACGUUUAAGGUGUUCGGAGGUUGUGCCUUGUUACCUUUAAGUUUCUCAAACAAGAUUGCAGUUUCUGCUUUGGCAGGGGUUUUUUCCUUCCUGUCAGUCACAAGUUCUAUCCCUACCAUUAAGCCCCUGCCCCUUACAUCUCCAAUGACUGAAACAACAAUUAAAAUUUCAGAGCAGCUUAAAAUAUCAUAAAAAGUUAAACAAUGUGUCGCACUAAACUAGUAGUAAUUCAGAAGUUACAUAUCAACAUCUAUAUUCAUGUAAUCAUCACAUCUGACGAGAAUGUUGAUAAAAUUUGGACUUCUGUUUGGCUGGCUUGAUUUCUAUUCUGCACAAGGCUACAGAAGCAGCAAAACUAAUUAAUCCUACAUGAAGCUGUUAAGGAAAGAAACUAGCCUGGCUCAUGUCUUACAAAAACACACAUGUGCACAACAUUCACAUGCAGCUUAUUUGUGUAAUAGCCCAUCCCAAGACAUUGUACAAGCACAUGCAUAAAAGAAAACUCAUCUGCACACACUUACAGGAACUAGGUUUUUGGCACAAACUGCAAAAUAAAGUUUAGGGUUUUAGAAACAGGAAAACAAUGAAAAGAUGAGAUUACUUUAUUUUUUAGGUUUUAAUAAUUUCUUUUUUAAGAAUAUCUUCAAUGUUUAUUUUUUCCCUUAAUUAGAGUGAGGUGGAAUUUACAUAUUACUAUUGGAGAUAUGCUAUAAUGUUAAUAUUGUAUUAAAUUUAUAAUAAUCAAUCAAAAGUUUUUAAAAAAAAUUGUGCUUUUAUAUAUAGUUAUGGAUGAAAAGAGCCCUAAGCAAAAAUCUAGUUAGGUUUACUCUAGUGUAUGUUGGUAUAUGAAUAGAACCACACUCAAAAGUAUGGUUUGCUAUAGCAAGUUAGUAAUAGCUGGUUUGCAUUUGAAAGUAGUUCGGAUUUCAGAUGGUGCAAAAAGACAGCCAGCAGAAUACUUAAUAUACAGCGAGCAGAAAAUGUCAUGUAAAUCACAGAGGCAAAUAUCACAACAGAGUUUUGAGAUGCCAAGUUCAAGAUAAAUUACUGUCAUGACUUCUUUGUAGCUCCCUCAAACGUCCACUCAAGUGCGAACCAACAGCAGCACAAUGCUCUUGACGCUUCUCUUGGUCUAUGACUCUCAAUACUUCAAGUCCACCAGCAGAGCACACGGGGUUCCCACCAAAAGUAUUGAACUGAAUUUUUUGCGCCAUUACUCGUGCUAUUUCUGGUGUUGUUACUACGGCUCCUAAUGGCAAACCAUUGCCAAUGCCCUGAUAAAUGCUAUUUGGUGUUACUUGUGGGAUGGUCAAGCAGUUUUCAAAAGAUAGUGAAAGUAACAUAUUGAAGUGAGAGCUAUUUAAAACAUAGAUUUUUUUCAUUUUGACUUUCCUCUAAUACAACAUGCACGGAUUCCUCAAGAUAAAGUGUUUUAUUAUUAUAAAACUCUAUAUGCUUUGCUAGAGGAGGAAUAAUCAAGAAAAAUUCCUACAUCGAAUUUUAAAUCAAAUUUAUCUAAAUUAUCUUUAGUGUCGAGAAUAUAGCAAUUUGAGCAAAAAAACAUAAAAUAUGAGAUGCUGGGUUUUUUUCAUGUUCAAAGCUUAUAAGAAGUUUUUCUCAACUCCAAUAUUAAAGUAACACGAUUUAAAACAUAGCAAGAAGUGUUUACAGAUUCCUUCCAAAAAUAUUUAGGUUUGUCAAAUUCAUUUAACACAGUUCUUGUCAUUUCUUGAAGAGACUGAUUUUUUUCUUUCUACAACCCCAUUUUGUUGGAGAGUUCUAAAAGUUGAAAAAUUAUGGUGGUAUCUUUUUUCUUCACACAAAAUUUCAAACAAAUCACUUAGAAAUUCACCAUCAUGAUCACUCUUUAUAUUUAUUAUGGAAAAAUCUUUUUUAUAUUCAACUUUUUUUGAAAACUUUACAAAUUUAUAAAUAAUCAUCUUUAGAUUUAAAAAAUAAAACUCAUGUAUAUCCUGUAAAGUCAUCAAUAAUUACAAACACAUAUCAAUUAUCACUAAUACUUCUAGUUCUAGUUGGUCCAAAAAGAUUUUUGUGUAGUAAUUCUAAAGAUCUUUCAUUUGAAAUGUGAUUUUUUCCCUUAAAAGAAGCUUUCACUUGUUUAUCCAUUUGACAAACAUCACAUAACUUUUUUUUUAAAAUACUAUAUGUGCAAGACCCUCAACCAGUUCAUUUUUAACUAGCUUAGAAAUGAUGUUCAUGCCAAUAUGACCUAGUCUUCCAUGUUAAACUUGGGUUAACUCGAGUUUAUUUUUAAUAGAUUUUUUUUUUCAAUUUCAUCUUUUAACAUUAGUUUGAUUGAGAAUUGAGCUUCAUAAUUUAUUUUAAUUUGUUUUUUAUUGGGUUAUCCCAGUCUCAUGAUCCGAGUCGCGAGUUUGACAAGUUAACUCAGGUUGACUUAGUUUAUUUUUUUGACAUUUUUUAAUUAGUUUUUUUCUUCAAUUUCAUCAUUCAGUAAUGAGUUUAUCGAAAAUUGAGCUUCAUAAUUUAUUUUAAUUUACUUUUUCUAUGAUGUUAUUAUGGUCUCAUGACCUGCAUGAAGAAUGAUAAGUUAACUUGAAUCAAUCCAAUAUGUUGUCAUCUCAAUAUAUAUAUAAAAAUACCAUCUUGAAUAUUUAUUUUGAGUUAAACUAUUUUUUAUUGGUUGUUUGAGUUGUCUUUAGACCUGCCAAGUCAAUCGAGUUAUAUCAAGUAAAUUUUCACAUGGUUGAAAAUUUUUUCUACUAGAAAAAAUACUGAUAAUAUUUAAAUAUUUUUUUACAUUAAAAAAAUUAAAUCUGACCAUAACAUAAUGCAAGCUAAUAAUCUAAUCUAGAGACUAUUUCAAAACCAAUUCCUUGUCUCGAAUAAUUACAAGAAUAUAAGAAAAUAUAAAAAAAUGAGAAUGGGUUAUUCAAUUUAUUAUGAUAUAAGAACUCCAGUAAAAGAUUUUAAAGCUCAUUUAGAAAAUUCCUAAAAGAUGGAUUGCAAAUGAGGGGAUUUUAGAGAACCAAUCCACAUAUAGAAUAAUUAUAAAAAUAUAAAACAAUAUAAAAGAUCGAGAAUGCAAAUGAGGGUUUUUUUUUUUUUUAAUGAAACUCACACUCAACUAUCUAAUUCAAUUGAUACCGAUUUAUGAGAGUGAUUUUGUCGGCUAGCACAAUUUCAAUUUGCUUGGGGGCUAAAUUGGAAAUAAUUUUAGUUUUAUGAUCUAGUUGAGGAUCACGUAAUAAUUGCGGGCCAAAUAUAUCAUUUUCCUCUAUUUUUUUUUUUUUAAUCUUCUAUGAUCUGAUUGAUCAGUUUUUUAUAGUUCGCCUUACCACCAUACGAAAAGCUUAAUCAGCUUCAAUUUAAACUGAGAGAUUCACUUCUUCCUUUAUUCUAUAGCGAAUUUGAAGAGGAACCCACUUCUUAAUUCUGUCUUUCUUGAAAUCCUGAGAAUUUGUUGCUGGAUCUGUUACUAUUAUUGGGUUUUGUGAAGAUUCAUUUUUAUCAUAGCUUUUUUUUUUGUUCCCUCCAGUUUUGGGUGGUUUCAAUACGAGGAAAACAUGAGCUUAGAUCAUUUUAGGUUGCUUGUAAUGUACUGACAUGGAUUUGAAUUCAGGGGUACCCUUUUGGAGAAUUUAUUGUUCUUUGUCGAGGUUGAGUGUCUGUUAUGGUACUUAUUUUGCUGGUCUAGUUUUGAAGGAGUGAUUUACUCUUGUUUUGGAGAAGAAAAACCAUUACUACUAUGUUUUGGAGGGACCGUGAGAGAGAAAACAAGGACCAAAAUGGUGGACCACCUUGUGGUCAGGUUCGAGUUCUUGUUGUUGGCGACUCAGGUAAUUUUCUUUUUAUUAAUUUGCACUCUCUAUUGUUUAGUUUAUUGAAUUUGCAAUGCGUGUUUUAUCGGUAAUUUUAUGUAAGGGGAUAUUGGUGAAUUAUGCUUCUGCUAUAUCCUUGUUUAGAUAGAACCUGGAUAGUAUUAGAGGGUUUCUUGAAAGAAUAGAAGUGAAUGUCUCUAGUGGACUUUGAGUAGUAACAUAUGCAAUUUCUGCUGGAAUCCAUUGGAAUCAGAUGGUCUGGAUUUUAUAUCUGUAAUCUUGCCAAUAUGACUAAUUGAUGGUCUAAAUACUCCAUUUUGGACCAAAAAAAGAUGGUGAUGUGCGUUGGGCUGAUUAUCCUUUGCAUGGCAUGUAGUUGAUGAUGAUUCAAUAGUUACAAUGUGUCAUUCUUAGUGUGAGAUCUAAAGAGCUUGGAUGGAGAUUUUGUUUCUGUUAUAGAUUCGGAGUUGAGGGUAGUCUUUUGCACUUUAAGACUGAUUUAGGCCUUCAAAUCUCCAGGGUUUUUGCUUCAACUCUGAUCACCAAGAUGAUUCCUUUAGGCAUUGGUAAAGUGAAAUAUCAGCUGCAAUUAUCAACAUCUUCUACAAACAUGAUGUGCAAGUUUAAUCCCCAGGAAUACUGACUAGUUAUUAUUUUAAUUUACUGGAAACCUAUAGGGCUGGAGAGUAUAUUUCAGAUUGAGGCUGGAAGAAGGAAAGAAAACUGGAGCUUGAUCAAUAUUUAUGAAUUUCUGUGGUUAUCUCUGUAGCAGUUUUAUUCACAGAAAACUAGUCUCUGUGACUUGGGAAAUCAGCUCUGGAUUUUGUUCAAAUAAGGGACAAUAGAACAACUACCUUUGUGGUUGUUGGUGUUUUGGUGCGGCAGGGAUAGAGGAGCUGUGUAGAGCAUGUUAUGCAGAUGGCAUGAACAUUUCAGACUCCUCUAAGUUUAUAUUUUUG